GACGCCCCGGGGCAGGGGCGGGAGUGGUGGAGCGUUGGCGGCUGGCUCUGAAAGGCGCGGUGCGCGAGCUUCCUAGGGCUUGAGGCAAAGCUUGGCCUCCUUUCGAGCCGAGACGGGGCGCGGGGGCCGGCGGCGACGGCGGCGGCGGCCCUCGGGCCGGCUGGUGACAGGAUGGCGGCGCCAGGCCCGGGGACUGGGACAUCCUCGGGUGGCGCGGGCUGUGGCGGUGCGGGCGCGGGCUCCGGGGCCGGGGCGUCUGGGGGACCCGGGGGCCGACUGCCCAGCCGGGUGCUGGAGUUGGUGUUCUCCUACCUGGAGCUGUCGGAGCUACGGAGCUGCGCGCUGGUGUGCAAGCACUGGUACCGCUGCCUGCACGGCGACGAGAACAGCGAGGUGUGGCGGAGCUUGUGCGCCCGCAGCCUGGCCGAGGAGGCUCUGCGCACGGACAUCCUCUGCAACCUGCCCAGCUACAAGGCCAAGGUACGUGCUUUCCAACAUGCCUUCAGCACUAAUGACUGCUCCAGGAAUGUCUAUAUUAAGAAGAAUGGCUUUACCUUACAUCGAAAUCCCAUCGCUCAGAGCACUGAUGGUGCAAGGACCAAGAUCGGUUUCAGUGAGGGCCGCCAUGCAUGGGAAGUGUGGUGGGAGGGCCCUUUAGGCACCGUGGCAGUGAUUGGAAUUGCCACGAAGCGGGCCCCCAUGCAGUGCCAAGGUUAUGUGGCAUUGUUGGGCAGUGACGACCAGAGUUGGGGCUGGAAUCUGGUGGACAAUAAUUUACUACAUAAUGGGGAAGUCAAUGGCAGUUUCCCACAGUGCAACAAUGCUCCAAAAUACCAGAUAGGAGAGAGAAUCCGAGUCAUCUUGGAUAUGGAGGAUAAGACUUUAGCUUUUGAACGUGGAUACGAGUUCCUGGGGGUGGCCUUUCGAGGACUUCCAAAGGUCUGCUUAUAUCCAGCAGUUUCUGCUGUAUAUGGCAACACAGAGGUGACUUUGGUUUACCUUGGAAAACCUUUGGAUGGAUGAUAGUGGCUUUCUUGGAAUCAGAGACAAUGGAGAAGAAAUCUACUUGUGGAAAUUAGAAUCAUGAAGUGACAGUGUCAUAUGUGCAUGCCCAAGAAAACAUCCUGAAAAACAUGAAAGUUGUUAGCUGAAGAAGCAGCUCUACAACAGAGAUCACUUUAGUGUUUCCUCUUUCCGCUGGGCCAGGAAAAUCCUCAGGGCUGCAGUUGGUUGAGUGGGCAGUUGGCAUAUGCGUGUUGCAACAGAUUCUUGUCUCUAAGCUAGCAAUGUGUUCUUUCCAGCUUUAAGGUAAGAGUUAGGGAUGCUGUCAAAAGGAUAAGAUAAUGAAAUAACAAGAUUCUGAGGUGGUGUGCUUUUUAAAGAAGAUGGAUUGUAUCCACAAUUGCCUGCUUUUUCUCCAAUCCCCUUUCGAUACCAUUAGGAAAGUAUGAAACUGGUUGGGGUUUAUUUAAUAUUUUUAAUAUAUUGAGAAGCAUGGUCUGCCUGGACUGCACUUCUCUAACAAUGAGAAAUAAAAUUGUGCAGCUAUUUUAAAAAUUGUAUAUAUAAUACGUGUGUAAAAAAUGUAAAAAAAAAAGAAAAAGGACAAAGGGGCUGCUUUGUUCUAGUUCAUUUUCUUAAGCACUAUAUGGUACAAAAUUAGAAUAACAUUUGGGGGCAGUAGGGUAGCCACAAAAAAGAAGAUUUUAAGAUGAAAUGUGUUAUAUUGGCUUUUGUAUUAUUUUUGGCUUAAAGAUUCCCAUAGCUCUUAGUCUGUCAUCAUUGGGUUGUUCAUAUUUUUAAAAUCAAAAUUACAGUAAAUAGGGCCAGGGAAGAUAGGUCAGUGGCCUGUCUGCCUGGCAAGCGCGAGGUCUUGAGUUCGAUCCCCAGUACCCCCCCCAAAAAAAAGUUAUAGUCAAUAAUCCUCAUUCUGAAGGAAAGGUAAAUCUAUUUCUAAUUAUGUAUGUCAGUAAGGGUGUUCUAAACACAAUAGGAAAAUGUGCAUCUCUUGAUACCCAGUUUUCUUGGCCCUCUGAGAAAGUGUCUCAUAAUGGAAAAUGUCCUUACUAUGAAUGCUAGUUGAGAAUUCAUUAAUGGGUUUUUAUUUUCUAGCUUUAUAGUGCUAUAUGUAUUAUCAAAACUAAUUUCAUAUUGUUUACAUCGUGUAAAACCCUAAGCCUCUGACUCUUCACUGGGGCAAUCAAGAAAAUGUUUACGACCCAUCUGAUGAAACAGUGCCAACCUGAGUCCAGGUUAAGAAUGUUCUUAAUCUCAUUAAGGUCAUUGCUCCCACAGGACUUGAAUCCAACAUCUUGUGCUGAAAACUUCAGGUGGCAAUAUUUUGAAAGUUUAAUUGCAGAAGAGUUUGAUACUACUUCCUAUUUGAUAAGAUCUAGCUCUUCAUUAAUAUUCUUUUGAAUUAAUCCAACACACAUGAGCUGAGAUUUUUCUUUUGUUAGAAGAAAAACAAAACAUCUUUCUGUUUGAAAUUAUACAUUUUAGGCACAUAAUUGCUGCAAGCAAGAUUUUUGUACUGUUUAAAUUACUGCCAUAUGUAUAGCUUAUCUUAAAUCUAUUAAAAUUAGGAACAGCAAACAGCUUAUUCCUUGAGAAUUAAAAUUAUCAAUAUUCUUGUGAAGCAGGAGAUUUCAGCCAUAGAACAAAUACCUGUUUUUGCUGCCUGAAAGGUUUACAAGUAUUUAUUAUGUAUAUGUGGUAUGUCCUUUAAAAAGGUGAAAUUUGGGCCGGGGAGAUGGCUCAGUGGAGUAA
RNA transcript from Octodon degus (degu), 2769 nucleotides. It is a transcript of the gene named F-box protein 45, with no coding region annotated. The record is from RefSeq and is a predicted model, not a curated record. The transcript has 4 exons. Lineage: Eukaryota; Metazoa; Chordata; Mammalia; Rodentia; Octodontidae.